AUUGAACGCUGGCGGAAUGCUUUACACAUGCAAGUCGAACGGUAGAGGGGGCAACCCCUCGAGAGUGGCGAACGGGUGAGUAAUAUAUCGGAACGUGCCCAGUCGUGGGGGAUAACGUAGCGAAAGUUACGCUAAUACCGCAUACGAUCUACGGAUGAAAGCGGGGGAUCGCAAGACCUCGCGCGAUUGGAGCGGCCGAUAUCAGAUUAGGUAGUUGGUGGGGUAAAGGCUCACCAAGCCAACGAUCUGUAGCUGGUCUGAGAGGACGACCAGCCACACUGGAACUGAGACACGGUCCAGACUCCUACGGGAAGCAGCAGUGGGGAAUUUUGGACAAUGGACGCAAGUCUGAUCCAGCCAUUCCGCGUGCAGGAUGAAGGCCCUCGGGUUGUAAACUGCUUUUGUACGGAACGAAAAGGUCUCUCUUAAUACGGGGGGCUCAUGACGGUACCGUAAGAAUAAGCACCGGCUAACUACGUG
RNAcentral lists this ribosomal RNA (480 nucleotides) under uncultured bacterium. RNAcentral describes it as "bacterial SSU rRNA". It matches the Rfam family "Bacterial small subunit ribosomal RNA", at positions 30 to 507 of the family's 1533-position model. The record is from RNAcentral.